GCUGCAACUCGCCUGCAUGAAGUCGGAAUUGCUAGUAAUCGCAGAUCAGCAUGCUGCGGUGAAUACGUUCCCGGGCCUUGUACACACCGCCCGUCACACCAUGGGAGUCGGUAACACCCGAAGUCGGUAGCCUAACCGUAAGGAGGGCGCCGCCGAAGGUGGGAUUGAUGACUGGGGUGAAGUCGUAACAAGGUAAC
This 197-nucleotide ribosomal RNA is filed under the name uncultured bacterium. RNAcentral's name for it is "partial 16S ribosomal RNA". It matches the Rfam family "Bacterial small subunit ribosomal RNA", at positions 1304 to 1500 of the family's 1533-position model. The record is from RNAcentral.